RNAcentral lists this ribosomal RNA (497 nucleotides) under uncultured bacterium. RNAcentral describes it as "partial 16S ribosomal RNA". It matches the Rfam family "Bacterial small subunit ribosomal RNA", at positions 28 to 507 of the family's 1533-position model. The record is from RNAcentral.
GAUGAACGCUGGCGGCGUGCCUAAUACAUGCAAGUCGAGCGAACAGACGAGGAGCUUGCUCCUUCGACGUUAGCGGCGGACGGGUGAGUAACACGUAGGUAACCUACCUAUAAGACUGGGAUAACUUCGGGAAACCGGAGCUAAUACCGGAUAAUAUUUCGAACCGCAUGGUUCGAUAGUGAAAGAUGGCUUUGCUAUCACUUAUAGAUGGACCUGCGCCGUAUUAGCUAGUUGGUAAGGUAACGGCUUACCAAGGCAACGAUACGUAGCCGACCUGAGAGGGUGAUCGGCCACACUGGAACUGAGACACGGUCCAGACUCCUACGGGAGGCUGCAGUAGGGAAUCUUCCGCAAUGGGCGAAAGCCUGACGGAGCAACGCCGCGUGAGUGAUGAAGGUCUUCGGAUCGUAAAACUCUGUUAUUAGGGAAGAACAAACGUGUAAGUAACUGUGCACGUCUUGACGGUACCUAAUCAGAAAGCCACGGCUAACUACGUG